This is a long non-coding RNA of Cephus cinctus (wheat stem sawfly), 367 nucleotides long. RefSeq lists it as uncharacterized. NCBI's taxonomy places the organism in Eukaryota, Metazoa, Arthropoda, Insecta, Hymenoptera, Cephidae. The record is from RefSeq and is a predicted model, not a curated record. The transcript has 3 exons.
CAGUACGGGACAUAGGACGCGAUCUGUAAAUUGUGUUUUGAGGUUCGUAAGAACAAAAAACGAUAAAUGAGAACGAAAAAGAUUGGAGUCAAGAAUGUGACAAAGAAGGCCACCAGCAGCUGGUUCUUCUAUUGGCUGCCAUGUCUCCUCCGAACUUUUUGCAAUCACCUCGUAGCAGAAUGGCCUUAUUGCUCAUCGUCCACGCCUCCAAGUUCUUCCGUUAAACCCGAAAAAUUCGACACUGGGGGAAAAGAAAGAAAAAUCGUAUGAUAUAUGUCUCCUAUCUCUUAAGGAUCGUAAUAUUCAAGACCGUAGCUACUCAGCUCACACUUGCACUGUGAAAAGACCACCGACCAUUAACAACGAG